AUGUCAUGUCGAUGGUAUUGUGUUCCUAAUUUGCUCAUAUUUCCAACAAUCCAAAAACCUGAUUAUAGGCAAUUUACUCUGAGUGGUUUUGCUACGCAUCUGAAGCCGCCUGCCUUUAAGGGGGCGCAAUAUAAGAGGUGGCGCACGAGAGCAGUCUACUGGUUUCAGACCAUGGGCUGCUAUGACGCCACUAAGGGCAAGCCUGAGGGCGAUCUUAAUCCAGCACAGCUGAAAGCUUUUGGGAAGAUUGAUACUCUCUUUAAAGGCGCUCUUCUAGGUGUUCUUGAUGAUUUCAUUGUGGAUUCGUAUAUGUCGUUUGACAACGGCAAGGACAUGUGGGCUGCGCUCGAGGCCAAGUUUGGUGCCUCGGACGCCGGUAGCGAGUUGUAUGUCAUGGAGCAAUUCUAUGACUACAAGAUGACUGAUGAGCGCUCUGUUGUAUAG
Molecule: ribosomal RNA, 444 nt
Filed under: Triticum aestivum (bread wheat)
Lineage: Eukaryota; Viridiplantae; Streptophyta; Magnoliopsida; Poales; Poaceae
Description: partial small subunit ribosomal RNA
Source: RNAcentral